AGUUUGAUCCUGGCUCAGGAUGAACGCUAGCGGCAGGCCUAAUACAUGCAAGUCGGACGGGAUAGGAGAGCUUGCUUUCCUUGAGAGUGGCGCACGGGUGCGUAACACGUAUGUAACCUACCUUUAUCAGGGGGAUAGCCUCUCGAAAGAGAGAUUAAGACCGCAUAAAAUUAUUUUAUGGCAUCAUAGAAUAAUCAAAUAUUUAUAGGAUAAAGAUGGGCAUGCGGAACAUUAGCUAGUUGGUAAGGUAAAGGCUUACCAAGGCUACGAUGUUUAGGGGAUCUGAGAGGAUGACCCCCCACACUGGUACUGAGACACGGACCAGACUCCUACGGGAGGCAGCAGUAAGGAAUAUUGGUCAAUGGGCGGAAGCCUGAACCAGCCAUGCCGCGUGCAGGAAGACGGCCCUAUGGGUUGUAAACUGCUUUUGCAGGGGAAUAAACCCCCGGUCGUGACCGGGGCUGAAUGUACUCUGAGAAUAAGGAUCGGCUAACUCCGUGCCAGCAGCCGCGGUAAUACGGAGGAUCCAAGCGUUAUCCGGAUUUAUUGGGUUUAAAGGGUGCGUAGGUGGCUUUUUAAGUCAGGGGUGAAAGACGGUAGCUUAACUAUCGCAGUGCCUUUGAUACUGAAGAGCUUGAAUACACUAGAGGUAGGCGGAAUGUGACAAGUAGCGGUGAAAUGCAUAGAUAUGUCACAGAACACCAAUUGCGAAGGCAGCUUACUAUGGUGUUAUUGACACUGAGGCACGAAAGCGUGGGGAUCAAACAGGAUUAGAUACCCUGGUAGUCCACGCCCUAAACGAUGAAUACUCGAUGUUGGCGAUAUACGGUCAGCGUCUAAGCGAAAGCGUUAAGUAUUCCACCUGGGGAGUACGCCCGCAAGGGUGAAACUCAAAGGAAUUGACGG
This 906-nucleotide ribosomal RNA is filed under the name uncultured bacterium. RNAcentral describes it as "bacterial SSU rRNA". It matches the Rfam family "Bacterial small subunit ribosomal RNA", at positions 10 to 916 of the family's 1533-position model. The record is from RNAcentral.